This 518-nucleotide ribosomal RNA is filed under the name Sporormiella sp. E39. Its description in RNAcentral is "eukaryotic LSU rRNA". The stretch from base 167 to 319 matches the Rfam family "5.8S ribosomal RNA". The record is from RNAcentral. Lineage: Eukaryota; Fungi; Ascomycota; Dothideomycetes; Pleosporales; Sporormiaceae.
GUGAACCUGCGGAGGAUCAUUAUCGUAGGGCUUCGGCCCUGUCGAGAUAGAACCCUUGCCUUUUUGAGUACCUUUUCGUUUCCUCGGCAGGCUCGCCUGCCAAUGGGGACCCCAACAAACACUUUGCAGUACCUGUAAACAGGUCUGAACAAACUUUAAAAAUUAAAACUUUCAACAACGGAUCUCUUGGUUCAGGCAUCGAUGAAGAACGCAGGAAAUGCGAUAAGUAGUGUGAAUUGCAGAAUUCAGUGAAUCAUCGAAUCUUUGAACGCACAUUGCGCCCUUUGGUAUUCCUUAGGGCAUGCCUGUUCGAGCGUCAUUGAACCUUCAAGCUCAGCUUGGUGUUGGGUGACUGUCCGCUUGCGGAUCGCCUCAAAAUGAUUGGCGGCCGGUACUUUUGGCUUCGAGCGCAGCAGAAACGCGAACUCGAGGCCUGUGUGCUGGCUCCCAGAAGCUAUCUUCACAAUUUUGACCUCGGAUCAGGUAGGGAUACCCGCUGAACUUAAGCAUAUCAAUAA